RNAcentral lists this ribosomal RNA (383 nucleotides) under uncultured euryarchaeote. RNAcentral's name for it is "bacterial SSU rRNA". It matches the Rfam family "Archaeal small subunit ribosomal RNA", at positions 348 to 732 of the family's 1478-position model. The record is from RNAcentral. Lineage: Archaea; Methanobacteriati; Methanobacteriota.
UUUUACAAUGCACGCAAGUGUGAUAAGGGGACUCUCAGUGCUCAUGCAAUGCAUGGGCUUUUGCCAAGAGUAAAUAUCUUGGCGAAUAAGGGGUGGGUAAGACGGGUGCCAGCCGCCGCGGUAACACCUGCGCCCCAAGUGGCAAUCAUGUUUAUUGGGCCUAAAGCGUUCGUAGCCGGAAUAGUCAGUCUUGGGUGAAAUUGCUGCGCUUAACAAAGCAACGUGCUUGAGAUACUGCUAUUCUAGAGACCGGGAGGCGUGAAGGGUAUUUUUGAGGGAGCGGUAAAAUGCGAUAAUCUCAAGAGGACCACCUGUGGCGAAGGCGCUUCACGAGAACGGGUCUGACGGUGAGGGACGAAAGCUAGGGGAGCAAACGGGAUUAG